GGAUAGGUGCCCGGAGUGGUUUAUCGGGGGCUGGGGCUUUGGUUCCGGUCGGGUCCUUGUGGCCUUCGCAGGUUCGAAUCCUGCCCUCUCCG
RNAcentral lists this transfer RNA (92 nucleotides) under Kitasatospora sp. MAP12-15. RNAcentral describes it as "tRNA-Gln". It matches the Rfam family "tRNA". Rfam says of the family: Transfer RNA (tRNA) molecules are approximately 80 nucleotides in length. Their secondary structure includes four short double-helical elements and three loops (D, anti-codon, and T loops). RNAcentral also lists the same sequence under 3 other names. The record is from RNAcentral. Lineage: Bacteria; Bacillati; Actinomycetota; Actinomycetes; Kitasatosporales; Streptomycetaceae.